This 353-nucleotide unclassified non-coding RNA is filed under the name soil metagenome. Its description in RNAcentral is "partial contains 5.8S ribosomal RNA, internal transcribed spacer 2, and large subunit ribosomal RNA". The stretch from base 1 to 120 matches the Rfam family "5.8S ribosomal RNA", at positions 35 to 154 of the family's 154-position model. The record is from RNAcentral.
GAUGAAGAACGCAGCGAAAUGCGAUAAGUAAUGUGAAUUGCAGAAUUCAGUGAAUCAUCGAAUCUUUGAACGCACAUUGCGCCCGCCAGUAUUCUGGCGGGCAUGCCUGUUCGAGUGUCAUUACAACCCUCAGGCCCCCGGGCCUGGCGUUGGGGAUCGGCGGAAGCCCCCUGCGGGCACAACGCCGUCCCCCAAAUACAGUGGCGGUCCCGCCGCAGCUUCCAUUGCGUAGUAGCUAACACCUCGCAACUGGAGAGCGGCGCGGCCACGCCGUAAAACACCCAACUUCUGAAUGUUGACCUCGAAUCAGGUAGGAAUACCCGCUGAACUUAAGCAUAUCAAUAAGCGGAGGA